Molecule: transfer RNA, 62 nt
Filed under: Dinoderus minutus
Lineage: Eukaryota; Metazoa; Arthropoda; Insecta; Coleoptera; Bostrichidae
Description: tRNA-His
Source: RNAcentral
AUUCAGGUAGUUUAAUAAAAACUUUGAUUUGUGGGGUCAAGAAUGAAAUUUAUCUCUGGAUA